UACGUAGGCAGCGAGCGUUGUUCGGAAUUACUGGGCGUAAAGAGUGUGUAGGCGGUGCUCUAAGUUUGGUGUGAAAUCUCCCGGCUCAACUGGGAGGGUGCAUCGAAAACUGGAGUGCUCGAGGGUGGGAGAGGUAAGCGGAAUUCCUGGUGUAGCGGUGAAAUGCGUAGAUAUCAGGAGGAACACCUGUGGUGUAGACAGCUUACUGGACCACUUCUGACGCUGAGACACGAAAGCGUGGGGAGCAAACAGG
RNAcentral lists this ribosomal RNA (253 nucleotides) under uncultured bacterium. Its description in RNAcentral is "partial 16S ribosomal RNA". It matches the Rfam family "Bacterial small subunit ribosomal RNA", at positions 524 to 776 of the family's 1533-position model. The record is from RNAcentral.